Molecule: ribosomal RNA, 468 nt
Filed under: uncultured bacterium
Lineage: Bacteria
Description: partial 16S ribosomal RNA
Rfam family: Bacterial small subunit ribosomal RNA
Source: RNAcentral
GACGAACGCUGGCGGCGUGCUUAACACAUGCAAGUCGGACGGUGAAGCUCCAGCUUGCUGGAGUGGAUCAGUGGCGAACGGGUGAGUAACACGUGAGCAACCUGCCCCUGACUCUGGAAUAAGCGCUGGAAACGGCGUCUAAUACUGGAUACGAGAAGGGUCCGCAUGGGCACUUUCUGGAAAGUUUUUCGGUUGGGGAUGGGCUCGCGGCCUAUCAGCUUGUUGGUGAGGUAAUGGCUCACCAAGGCGACGACGGGUAGCCGGCCUGAGAGGGCGACCGGCCACACUGGGACUGAGACACGGCCCAGACUCCUACGGGAGGCAGCAGUGGGGAAUAUGGCACAAUGGGCGAAAGCCUGAUGCAGCGACGCCGGGUGAGGGAUGACGGCCUUCGGGUUGUAAACCUCUUUCAGCAGGGAAGAAGCGAAAGUGACGGUACCUGCAGAAGAAGCACCGGCUAACUACGUG